RNAcentral lists this transfer RNA (75 nucleotides) under Alphaproteobacteria bacterium. Its description in RNAcentral is "tRNA-Gly". It matches the Rfam family "tRNA". From Rfam's summary of the family: Transfer RNA (tRNA) molecules are approximately 80 nucleotides in length. Their secondary structure includes four short double-helical elements and three loops (D, anti-codon, and T loops). Lineage: Bacteria; Pseudomonadati; Pseudomonadota; Alphaproteobacteria. RNAcentral also lists the same sequence under 6 other names. The record is from RNAcentral.
GCGGGAGUAGCUCAGGGGUAGAGCAUCACGUUGCCAACGUGAGGGUCGCGGGUUCAAAUCCCGUCUCCCGCUCCA